AGUGAACGCUGGCGGUAGGCCUAACACAUGCAAGUCGAACGACCACACAGUAAGAGUAUGCUCCUACGGGUGGCGGGUGGCGGACGGGUGAGGCAUGCAUCACCAUCUACUUAUUCGUGGGGGACAUCGUAGGGACAGUUAUGAUAAUACCGCAUACGACCUACGGGUGGGAGCAAGGGUUCUUGGGGCCUUUCGCGAUUGUAUUAGCCGAGUUCGGAUUAGCUAGUUGGCGGGGUAAAGGCACACCAGGGCGACGAUCCGUUGCUGGUCUGAGAGGAUGGUCAGCCACACUGGAACGGAGACACGGUCCGAACUCCUAGGGGAGGCAGCAGUGGGGAAUUUUCGACAAUGGGCGCAAGCCUGAGCCGGCCAGACCGCGGGGGUGAAGAAGGCCUUCGAGUUGUAAAGCCCUUUUGUUGGGAAAGAAAAGCGGCAGGUUAACACCGCGCUGUUCUGACGGUACCCAAAGGAUAAGCACCGGCAAACUUCGU
This 491-nucleotide ribosomal RNA is filed under the name uncultured bacterium. Its description in RNAcentral is "partial 16S ribosomal RNA". It matches the Rfam family "Bacterial small subunit ribosomal RNA", at positions 29 to 506 of the family's 1533-position model. The record is from RNAcentral.